RNAcentral lists this ribosomal RNA (253 nucleotides) under uncultured bacterium. RNAcentral describes it as "partial 16S ribosomal RNA". It matches the Rfam family "Bacterial small subunit ribosomal RNA", at positions 524 to 776 of the family's 1533-position model. The record is from RNAcentral.
UACGUAGGGGGCAAGCGUUGUCCGGAAUUAUUGGGCGUAAAGAGCGCGUAGGCGGUCCGAUAAGUCGGCUGUGAAAGUCCAGGGCUCAACCCUGGAAAGCCGGCCGAUACUGUCGGACUAGAGUCCGGAAGAGGCGAGUGGAAUUCCCGGUGUAGCGGUGAAAUGCGCAGAUAUCGGGAGGAACACCCGUGGCUAAGGCGGCUCUCUAGUACGGUACUGACGCUGAGACGCGAAAGCGUGGGGAGCGAACCGG